CGGUAAUCGUUCGUUUUUCAAACUUUCGUUUUCAUUGGAAACUCUGCGGCCGGUCUUCUGACGCUGCGUUUUGCUCAUUCCCUCCAGUAUUAUCUGGGACAUUGUGAGCCACUGCCUGCAUGAAGAGGAUUUUACUGACCUUCCUUGCCCUUUUCUCAGAAGCAGAUGGCAGUGCUGUUCCAAGUGCAUAGGAUUCUCUAUCCUUUGACAUCAUUUUUCAAUGCUGGAAUUUGUGUGCCUGCUUUUGGCAGUCUUGAGUCUUUCCUGCCCUGCCAUUUCACAAACUGUGAUCAAUGGAGUCCUCCAUUCUGAUGUACUGCUGCCUUUUGUUUUUACUAAAAAUGGGAAGUCGAUAGACCUAAAGUUCACCAGUGUAAUCUGGAAAAAAAAUAAUAAGGAGCUGGUGAGGUAUGAAUCGGAGAAAAUAAAAGUGGCCACAAGGGGGGAGCUGUCUGAAGCGGCGCUACGGCACGGUAACGCCUCCCUCGUCCUUUUGCAAGUCCUUAUUGAAGAUGAAGGGGACUAUGAAAGUGAGGCGAACUAUGCUUCAGAGCACUAGAAGAAAAGCCUCAGGCUCAAUGUUAUAGCUUCUCCAAAAGUCUCUGUAAAGUCUCUGGUGGUGAUGAAUGUGGUGAGCAUACUGGAGUGUCAUGUGGACAACUUCUAUCCAAAAGAGAUUUCCAUAGAGUGGCUUAGAGCUUCCCAGCCUCUUCCUUCUCAAGAUAACCCACAGCUGGAGCGCAAUCCUGAUGGCACCUUCAGCGCAGUAAGCAGUUAUCACUACACCCCGACUCCCGAAGAUAGUGGUGUGGCCUUCAGCUGCAGAGUGAGGCAGGAAUAUCAGGAGAGGCCACUGGAGGAGACCUUUCAUCUGCAAUUCCGCAAGCGAGCUUCUGUGAAGUUGACUUCCAUCAAUUUGCCACAGAGUCAGAAGCUGAUCUCUUGUGAUGUUGAAGACUUCUAUUCAGCAGAUGCUGAAGUGAUCUGGAAGAAAAAUGGACAUCCCGUUGACAGUACAGAGCAAAGGAAGGAUGGCAACUUCGAAAAAAGAAUAUACCAUAAGCUAGACGCUACUGAGAUGAAAAAUGAGUACAUGUGUGAAGUGAGUCAGGAAGGAUUCAAUGACGUGCUGACAGAGAACAGAUUCACACAGAAAGACGAGUGUGAAUGUACAACGCAGACAAUUGUCCUGACAGUAAUUGGGGUCCUGUUUGCUGAAGUUGUCCUGGGGCUGUUGUGCUACUUUAUUUAUUUAAUGAAGAGUACAAUAGAUGCUGUUGCCCUUAAAGUACAGGAGCUGGAGCAAACUGGAAACUGAACUGGCAAAACUCAGAGUGUCACCAUCGCAGAUCAACAGAUUUACUGCCUCUGAGAGGGUCUUUAGAACCAUUUGGCCUGCAAUUGAUCCAUCUGCUGCCAAUAUAAAGUAGUAUAUUGGUCAGAAUGAACUGAACGGCAAACAACUCCAAGCCCAAACCGCAAGCUGCAGCUCACUGAUGAGUUUUUUCAUAUUGUUGUCAGGUUGCAUCAGGAUUGAAAGAGAAGCUGCUGGCAAACAUUUUUCAAAUAAGUACAUCUACUGUUAGCCACAUUAUAAUCACAUGGGCCAAUUCCCUUUACCUUAUCCUGAGAUCAGUGCCAAUUUGGAAGACUAGACAGUAGGUGCAAGCUGCAAUGCCCACCACAUCUCUACAAUUUGAACAGAGUGAGGGUGCUAGAUAGAGUGUACAGAGCUAAGAUGUCAGAGUCCAACAGCACUCUUGCUACAGUCUGAGGUGUUCUCUUCGUACAAGAACGCCAUCACCUUCAAAGAACAGAUUGGAGUUUCAUCAUGUGGGGCUACAGUGUCACCUUAGUUUCUAAGCACUACAGAGAAUCACUUUCUGACAAAGAGAUACAGGUAAAAUUCCAUUACAAAGGCCUUCCAGGUACCUGAUAAAUAUUUCAUUAUAAUGAAAAUCUCG
Molecule: non-coding RNA, 1964 nt
Organism: Polypterus senegalus (gray bichir)
Lineage: Eukaryota; Metazoa; Chordata; Cladistia; Polypteriformes; Polypteridae
Source: the annotation of a RefSeq genome assembly